AGAGUUUGAUCAUGGCUCAGAAUCAACGCUGGCGGCGUGCCUCAGACAUGCAAGUCGAACGCGAAAGUCCCCUUCGGGGGACAAGUAGAGUGGCGCACGGGUGAGUAACACGUAGGUAAUCUACCUUUGGAUGGGGAAUAACAAUCGGAAACGGUUGCUAAUACCGCAUAAUGCAGCGGCACCUAAUGGUGACAGUUGUUAAAGCGGGGGAUCGAAAGACCUCGCGUCUAAAGAGGAGCCUGCGGCGGAUUAGCUAGUUGGUAAGGUAAUGGCUUACCAAGGCUACGAUCCGUAACCGGCCUGAGAGGGCGGUCGGUCACACUGACACUGACAUACGGGUCAGACUCCUACGGGAGGCAGCAGUCGGGAAUUUUGGGCAAUGGGCGAAAGCCUGACCCAGCAACGCCGCGUGAAGGAUGAAAUCCCUCGGGAUGUAAACUUCGCAAGAACGGGAAGAAUAAGUAGGGGACAAUACCCCCUAUGAUGACGGUACCGUUUGUAAGCUCCGGCUAACUCCGUGCCAGCAGCCGCGGUAAUACGGGGGGAGCAAGCGUUGUUCGGAUUUACUGGGCGUAAAGGGCGCGUAGGCGGCCAGCACAAGUCAGUUGUGAAAUCUCCGAGCUU
This 624-nucleotide ribosomal RNA is filed under the name uncultured bacterium. Its description in RNAcentral is "bacterial SSU rRNA". It matches the Rfam family "Bacterial small subunit ribosomal RNA", at positions 8 to 610 of the family's 1533-position model. The record is from RNAcentral.